Non-coding RNA from Sphenostylis stenocarpa, 72 nucleotides. The record is from the annotation of a GenBank genome assembly. Lineage: Eukaryota; Viridiplantae; Streptophyta; Magnoliopsida; Fabales; Fabaceae.
AUUUUAGUAGCUUAGUGGUUAGAGUAUUAGCCUCCAACUCUAAGGUAUUGAGUUCGAAUCUUCGCUGAAAAG